Molecule: long non-coding RNA, 1392 nt
Organism: Nerophis ophidion (straightnose pipefish)
Lineage: Eukaryota; Metazoa; Chordata; Actinopteri; Syngnathiformes; Syngnathidae
Exons: 3
Source: RefSeq, a predicted model, not a curated record
CCACUUCCCUUCGGGACUGAACGCGAGCUCCCUCACCUGUUCUGAAUUGCCAAUCAUGAAGCGAGCUUCGCCAGUCGGACGGAGCUGGAUCGAUAUAACGCCUAAGAUGGGACUUUCAUAGAAGUUACUGUGUAAGUGUUGCGAUCUGGUCUCAUAUCUGCGAAGGUCGUGUCUACCAAAACGGCAGGAAGCAGCUCACAGGGUUCCCACUCCUGUGUAUCCACUCGCACACAUGGAGAUGUCAUCUCUGCAAGAAGAAAAAGAAGAGGAGACAACUUGACAGUAUACGCAGGUGGGCUUUAAAAUAAACCAUUUGAAUCAUGCAAUAUGAUUUACCUUUCUAUUUUUCUAUGUCCCACUCUCCUUUGUGGAGGGAGUCCGGUCCGAUCCGGUGGCCAUGUACUGCUCGCCUGUGUAUCGGCUGGGGACAUCUCUGCGCUGCUGAUCAGCCUCCUCUUGGGAUGGUUUCCUGCUGGCUCCGCUGUGAACGGGACUCUCGCUGCUGUGUUGGAUCCGCUUUGGACUGGACUCUCGCGACUGUGUUGGAUCCAUUAUGGAUUGAUCUUUCACAGUAUCAUGUUUUCAUAGUCAUCAUUGUCACCGACGUCCCACUGGGUCAUUAUUGUCACCGAUGUCCCACUGGGUGUGAGUUUUCCUUGCCCUUAUGUGGGCCUACCGAGGAUGUCGUAGUGGUUUGUGCAGCCCUUUGAGACACUAGUGAUUUAGGGCUAUAUAAGUAAACAUUGAUUGAUUGAUUGAUUACCAGCACAUUGUGACAUUUGUUAAAAACGUGGAACCGAACACAAAACUGUUCCGCUUUAACCACAAAAUGUCAACGAGAUCUUUAAAUCUUUGUGACUGGGAGACAAGUCGAGCAAUAAUAUGGGACUCGGCAGUAUUGUAAGCGCUUUUAUGCUGCAUAUUUAUCAUAUUAACUUCAUAAUAGAUGAUGCCUCUCUAAAAAUAGACAUGGCAGCCUGCUGGUGUAUUUGUGUGAACCUUUAUUUAUCCAGCUAAAAGCAGCAGGACACUCAGACUGGACGUGUCGCCUGACUUCAAGAGCUGCAUUUAGCUGCUUGUUCUGCACUGUGUGCACCGCCAGUGUAGACUUUGAACCCAGAUAAAUAAUCAGGGCAGUCCAGAGUCCUGCUGAAUGCUGACAAUGUGGAGAAUGACUCAGCGAUUCUGUGCAGGCACUGGCUGUGCAAACAUCCAUCACGCCAACACAAAGAUCCAACAAAGAUACCCCUUGACAAUUACGGCUAUAACGCACACACAGUUGGAAACAUACAGUAGGAACAUCUUCUCUUCUCUCCACCCAGGAAUUGGUCAUAUGAAUCCCUUCCCUACUGUAAUGUAAAAUACAUACAUUAAUAAAUUGAUACAGCAUCA